GGGGAAUAUUGCACAAUGGGGGAAACCCUGAUGCAGCGACGCCGCGUGGAGGAAGAAGGUCUUCGGAUUGUAAACUCCUGUUGUUGAGGAAGAUAAUGACGGUACUCAACAAGGAAGUGACGGCUAACUACGUGCCAGCAGCCGCGGUAAAACGUAGGUCACAAGCGUUGUCCGGAAUUACUGGGUGUAAAGGGAGCGCAGGCGGGAAGACAAGUUGGAAGUGAAAUCCAUGGGCUCAACCCAUGAACUGCUUUCAAAACUGUUUUUCUUGAGUAGUGCAGAGGUAGGCGGAAUUCCCGGUGUAGCGGUGGAAUGCGUAGAUAUCGGGAGGAACACCAGUGGCGAAGGCGGCCUACUGGGCACCAACUGACGCUGAGGCUCGAAAGUGUGGGUAGCAAACAGGAUUAGAUACCCUGGUAGUCCACACCGUAAACGAUGAUUACUAGGUGUUGGAGGAUUGACCCCUUCAGUGCCGCAGUUAACACAAUAAGUAAUCCACCUGGGGAGUACGACCGCAAGGUUGAAACUCAAAGGAAUUGACGGGGGCCCGCACAAGCAGUGGAGUAUGUGGUUUAAUUCGACGCAACGCGAAGAACCUUACCAAGUCUUGACAUCCUGCGACGGUGCUAGAAAUAGUAUUUUCCUUCGGGACGCAGAGACAGGUGGUGCAUGGUUGUCGUCAGCUCGUGUCGUGAGAUGUUGGGUUAAGUCCCGCAACGAGCGCAACCCUUAUGGUCAGUUACUACGCAAGAGGACUCUGGCCAGACUGCCGUUGACAAAACGGAGGAAGGUGGGGAUGACGUCAAAUCAUCAUGCCCUUUAUGACUUGGGCUACACACGUACUACAAUGGCGUUAAACAAAGAGAAGCAAGACCGCGAGGUGGAGCAAAACUCAGAAACAACGUCCCAGUUCGGACUGCAGGCUGCAACUCGCCUGCACGAAGUCGGAAUUGCUAGUAAUCGUGGAUCAGCAUGCCACGGUGAAUACGUUCCCG
This 995-nucleotide ribosomal RNA is filed under the name uncultured bacterium. RNAcentral's name for it is "bacterial SSU rRNA". It matches the Rfam family "Bacterial small subunit ribosomal RNA", at positions 356 to 1376 of the family's 1533-position model. The record is from RNAcentral.